Molecule: ribosomal RNA, 765 nt
Filed under: uncultured bacterium
Lineage: Bacteria
Description: bacterial SSU rRNA
Rfam family: Bacterial small subunit ribosomal RNA
Source: RNAcentral
UAGGCGGUUUGUUGCGUCGGCUGUGAAAACCUGAGGCUCAACCUCAGGCCUGCAGUCGAUACGAGCAGACUAGAGUGUUGCAGGGGAGACUGGAAUUCCUGGUGUAGCGGUGAAAUGCGCAGAUAUCAGGAGGGACACCGGUGGCGAAGGCGGGUCUCUGGGCAACAACUGACGCUGAGGAGCGAAAGCGUGGGGAGCGAACAGGAUUAGAUACCCUGGUAGUCCACGCCGUAAACGUUGGGCGCUAGGUGUGGGGCUCAUUCCACGAGUUCCGUGCCGCAGCUAACGCAUUAAGCGCCCCGCCUGGGGAGUACGGCCGCAAGGCUAAAACUCAAAGGAAUUGACGGGGGCCCGCACAAGCGGCGGAGCAUGUUGCUUAAUUCGAUGCAACGCGAAGAACCUUACCUAGGCUUGACAUGCACGGAAAUCCUCCAGAGAUGGUGGGUCCGCAAGGGUCGUGCACAGGUGGUGCAUGGUUGUCGUCAGCUCGUGUCGUGAGAUGUUGGGUUAGGUCCCGCAACGAGCGCAACCCUCGUUCUAUGUUGCCAGCACGUGAUGGUGGGGACUCAUAGGAGACUGCCGGGGUCAACUCGGAGGAAGGUGGGGAUGACGUCAAAUCAUCAUGCCCCUUAUGUCUAGGGCUGCAAACAUGCUACAAUGGCCGGUACAAAGGGCUGCGAUACCGCGAGGUGGAGCGAAUCCCAAAAAGCCGGUCUCAGUUCGGAUUGGGGUCUGCAACUCGACCCCAUGAAGUUGGAGUCGCUA